UUCGAUACCGCUUAGAUCAGUUCGAUCGUGCAACGCACAAGAGACAGUUCGGGCGAAUUCGAAAGCGCUACAAAAUACUGCUUAUCUAGAUAACACAGUACAGUAAAAAUAAAGGUUAAAUGUUUUACAAACUCACAUACAUGCAAAAAGAGUAAUACAUUUGUGAUUAAUGCAAUUAACACUUUGAUAACUAAAUCGGUAAAAAGUCGCCUUGAGUGGUGAAUUAUUUCGAACAGCUGAAUUCUAAGUUAAAUUGGUGCAUAAUUUUCAUUUGGGUAAAAACUUUAACGAAAUUAUGGAGCACAUUUCAAAAGAAUAUUAAAAUGAUUUGCCUGAGCAACACGACCAAAUAAUAAACAAUUAUAAAUUUAAUGUAAGGUUAAAUAGGCUUCAAAAGCAAGCGAAACAUUCGGCAGCAAUUUGUUAGUGCUCAUCGAAACGAAUAGCAUGAAUUCAUGCUUCAGUGAAACGGUUUCAAUCAGUGUUUAUCUCAUAAAAACACCGUUUAUUUUGUUUGCUUUGUCCCACUUUGACAGUCCAGUGUGUGUAAAAACAAAUUGGAAUAGUUAACAAUACGGCUGAAGCAUGUUUGUCUUUGGCCGUCGGCCACAGGCGAACUGCAGCUGGUUGAGCAAUGGGGUCCUGGCUUUGUCACUUCUGCAGUUGAUACUCUUGGGCCGUGCACAUUUCAUACAGAUCGAUCAUAAUGCUUUUCGUAAUAAUUAUUUCCCUCGUCCACCCAUUGAUCCACCAGCACCAGCGCCCCCAUCGUUGACUCAAGCAGAGCAGCUGUCACGACAUUUCGACGGCAGACAGCUGUCGCCAGCCGAACUUAUGGCCGAUUUGAGCAACGAUCUCACUUACCGCAUCCUUCAUUACCACUCGAUACUCAACAGAAACAACUUUGCAUUUUCGCCCACUGCACUGAUGAGUGUGUUAAUCGCCCUUUAUGAGGGUUCGGCAGGCCGGAGUGCUCUGGAAUUGCACAAGGUGUUGAUGCUUCCAAACGGUCGGGAUGUCAUUCGUGUAGGCUAUCGUGACAUUCAUCGCAGAUUAAGGACAUACUUUUUUGGUUCCGAGAACCCGCUCAAAGGUCUAAGCCUCAACAAAGAUAAUGUAACCAUUACUCAUGGGUAUGAAACGGUUUUAACAUUUUAUGGAUAUGAUUUGGGAAUGGAUAUGGUAUCCUCUACCGUCUCUUCGACGUCUUCUACAACACCCUUCUCGAAUGCAACCGAUGAAAUUACAAUGGCAACAACUGCAAGCGCCCCAAAAACUUCUACAACAAUUGUUCCAAGCUCCACAAUGGAAAACAAUACUGAAAAAAUAUCGACGGAAGAAAACAAUAAUGUCACCACGACAAAACCGGAAACAACAUCUUCUCUUACAACCACAGAAACUGAAACUGUUGCUAAAACAACAACUGAAGAUAAACCAACAACAGAAAAAAUUACCACAACAACUGAAAUGUUAACCACAGAAGAAGUUACCACAGUGACACCACCAACAAGAACGACAACAACUGAAGAGUUCACCGCCGAAACAAAUGAUGACACAACAACAGCAACUACCGCACCAAUAACAGAAAACAGCGAUGAUGCGGCAGAGUUCGUAUCUCCAACACCCAUUGAAUUUAACUCAAAUCCAUUUCAACGGUUACAAAAGAUGCAACCAAUACAUACACCAAGCUCAAAACUGCAGGCGCCUCUAUCGCCAAUUUCAACACCGAAACAUAAUUAUUUGCCACAGUACGCGCGUUCUCGAAGUGGUCGACAUAAGCGUCAUUCAACUGGUUUUAAAGAGAUUGACACAAAUCUUUUCGUGACGCUCUUUAACCCUCAGCACCAGCUGCACCAUGAUUUGUAUACAAUAACUCAGCCAGUAACAGGGUCUGCCUCGCUGGGACAAUACACUAGUGAAUUUGAUGUCGAAACUUUAGAUGCACGACUUUUGAAAGUGGCCAAUGCCAGAAGUAAUUAUGGCUACAAUACCGAUGUUAUUAGCCACGUAUUCUACUUGGGGAACCAACAGCUAGUUCACACUACGUUCAAGGUCUACAAUGCAGUGCUGUAUUUUAAGUAUUUUGAAGAUUUAAAAAUGAGCGCUCUUGAACUAGAAUUGGACACACCGGAUUAUAACUUGAUAAUUUUGCUCCCAGAUUCUCCAGUAGAUUUAAUAUCAACUACGGCUUCGCUUGGUUUGGGCCCAUCUUUACGACUGAUAAGAAAACAACUAAAACCAAGAUGGGUUCAAGCGAUAAUUCCGGACUUUAAACUACACGGAAUAAUAUUCCUAACCAAUGACCUCCAAAACAUGGGUGUGUGUGAUAUAUUUGAACCAAAUCGUGCAGAUUUUCGUCCCAUGACAGAGGAAAAGGGUAUUUAUGUAAAACACAUUGAACAAUCGAUUAACGUUAAUAUACGUACGCAUCCAAUAAACCAGUUAAAGCGUAAUUACGGACCGCAAACGUCACCUAUUCAGAUAUCUGUAAACCAUCCCUUUCUAUUUUUUGUAAUUGACCGAGACCUAGAUAUUGCUGUAAUGGCCGGUCGUAUUUUAAAUCCUUUGAAUGUACGAAUACAGUAGUGUCAAACAGACGACAGUAACAACAGUACGCCGUACUUCUAUCAAAUGUAGUCAAUUUUGGAGAUUAUGCAACCAUGGUGGUGAAAUUGAAUAAUAAGUAUGAACACAGUAGGUGGUUAACUAUAAAUAGAAGCAGGAUAUGAAAGCUAAUUCAAAACUAAAUCGUGGGUUAGGAUAGUGAAAAAUUAAAUAUGGAAAUAUACUAAAUUCGAA
Bactrocera dorsalis (oriental fruit fly) is the source of this 2799-nucleotide RNA transcript. RefSeq lists it as uncharacterized. The transcript has 5 exons. The record is from RefSeq and is a predicted model, not a curated record. NCBI's taxonomy places the organism in Eukaryota, Metazoa, Arthropoda, Insecta, Diptera, Tephritidae.